Molecule: ribosomal RNA, 253 nt
Filed under: uncultured bacterium
Lineage: Bacteria
Description: partial 16S ribosomal RNA
Rfam family: Bacterial small subunit ribosomal RNA
Source: RNAcentral
UACGGAGGGUGCAAGCGUUAUCCGGAUUUAUUGGGUUUAAAGGGUGCGUAGGCGGAAUUUUAAGUCAGUGGUGAAAGCCUGCAGCUUAACUGUAGAAUUGCCAUUGAUACUGAUUUUCUUGAAUGUAGUUGAAGUAGGCGGAAUGUGUCAUGUAGCGGUGAAAUGCAUAGAUAUGACACAGAACACCGAUUGCGAAGGCAGCUUACUAAGCUAUUAUUGACGCUGAGGCACGAAAGCGUGGGGAGCGAACAGG